UACGUAGGUGGCAAGCGUUGUCCGGAAUUACUGGGCGUAAAGGGCGUGUAGGCGGAUUUUUAAGUCAGGUGUGAAAUCUUUGGGCUCAACCCAGAGUUUGCAUUUGAUACUGGAAGUCUUGAGUGCAGGAGAGGACAGUGGAAUUCCUAGUGUAGCGGUGAAAUGCGUAGAUAUUAGGAGGAACACCAGUGGCGAAGGCGACUGUCUGGACUGUAACUGACGCUGAGGCGCGAAAGCGUGGGGAGCAAACAGG
RNAcentral lists this ribosomal RNA (253 nucleotides) under uncultured bacterium. RNAcentral describes it as "partial 16S ribosomal RNA". It matches the Rfam family "Bacterial small subunit ribosomal RNA", at positions 524 to 776 of the family's 1533-position model. The record is from RNAcentral.